This 325-nucleotide long non-coding RNA is filed under the name Aotus nancymaae (Ma's night monkey). RNAcentral's name for it is "lncRNA (ENSANAG00000039376.1)". The record is from RNAcentral. Lineage: Eukaryota; Metazoa; Chordata; Mammalia; Primates; Aotidae.
CAAGUCCUGGCACACGAUGUUCAAAAGAAAGACCUUGGCUCCCACUGAACUCUUAGAAGGCAGAUGCCAGGAUCUGCAACCCCAGGGUUGUGAGGAGAUCCUGAGCUCUCAGCCAAUGAGAGAGAAUAUUACAGACUAUGCUGUAUGCUCCUAUCCAAUGGCUGCUGAGUACCCAUGGCGUGCCAGACAUGGUGCUAAUUAAUGAAGAUGAAACAAUGAAUGUUCAGAACGCGGUGACUAAUGACCCAUGCUGUGCAUGAGCUUCCUGGGAUACCCAUGUACACUUCCUUCUACCUGCUGGCCCAUGCUCCGAACUGUGCCCUUC